Molecule: ribosomal RNA, 397 nt
Filed under: uncultured bacterium
Lineage: Bacteria
Description: partial 16S ribosomal RNA
Rfam family: Bacterial small subunit ribosomal RNA
Source: RNAcentral
AUACGUAGGGGGCGAGCGUUGUCCGGAAUGAUUGGGCGUAAAGGGCGCGUGGGCGGCCCGGUAAGUCUGGAGUGAAAGUCCUGUUUUUAAGAUGGGAAUUGCUUUGGAUACUGUCGGGCUUGAGUGCAGGAGAGGUAAGUGGAAUUCCCAGUGUAGCGGUGAAAUGCGUAGAGAUUGGGAGGAACACCAGUGGCGAAGGCGACUUACUGGACUGUAACUGACGCUGAGGCGCGAAAGUGUGGGGAGCAAACAGGAUUAGAUACCCUGGUAGUCCACACUGUAAACGAUGAAUGCUAGGUGUAGGGGGUAUCGACCCCUUCUGUGCCGCAGUCAACACAAUAAGCAUUCCGCCUGGGGAGUACGGCCGCAAGGUUGAAACUCAAAGGAAUUGACGGGG